RNAcentral lists this ribosomal RNA (253 nucleotides) under uncultured bacterium. Its description in RNAcentral is "partial 16S ribosomal RNA". It matches the Rfam family "Archaeal small subunit ribosomal RNA", at positions 474 to 727 of the family's 1478-position model. The record is from RNAcentral.
UACCCGCAGCACAAGUGGUGGUCAUUAUUAUUGGGCCUAAAGCGUCCGUAGCUGGCUUGUUAGAUGCCUGGGUAAAUCGAUGCGCUCAACGUAUCGAACUCCGUGUAGACCGGCAAGCUUGGGACCGGGAGAGGCGUGAGCUACUCGGGGGGUAGGGGUAAAGUCCUGUAAUCCUCCGGGGAGGACCAGUGGCGAAGGCGUCACGCUAGAACGGCUCCGACAGUGAGGGACGAAGCCCUGGGGCGCAAACCGG